Molecule: non-coding RNA, 300 nt
Organism: Drosophila melanogaster (fruit fly)
Lineage: Eukaryota; Metazoa; Arthropoda; Insecta; Diptera; Drosophilidae
Source: Ensembl
AACCUGUUAAGUGCAGGGAGAUAUCUCAUAAUAUAAACUGUAGCUUGGUGGUCUGUCGGGGCUUAAGCCAAAAAUAAACACUGCAGUAAGGUACACAUUUAACCGAAAUCGUCGAAGACAAUUGCAAUAUUUAACUCGAAAACGACAAACAGAACGUGCGACCCCAAAAUUAACCAGCAAGAGCCGGAGAAAAUACCGAAUAUAAUUAACUACAACUGGAUGCACUGCAGCCCCUCACCUUAUAUCCCUCGGCUUUUUGCUUACAAUGGGUUAAACGGGCCUUACACUCAAAACAUAUCC